Molecule: ribosomal RNA, 253 nt
Filed under: uncultured bacterium
Lineage: Bacteria
Description: partial 16S ribosomal RNA
Rfam family: Bacterial small subunit ribosomal RNA
Source: RNAcentral
UACGAAGGGGGCUAGCGUUGCUCGGAAUCACUGGGCGUAAAGCGCACGUAGGCGGCUUUUUAAGUCAGGGGUGAAAUCCUGGAGCUCAACUCCAGAACUGCCUUUGAUACUGGAGAGCUUGAGUCCGGGAGAGGUGAGUGGAACUCCGAGUGUAGAGGUGAAAUUCGUAGAUAUUCGGAAGAACACCAGUGGCGAAGGCGGCUCACUGGCCCGGUACUGACGCUGAGGUGCGAAAGCGUGGGGAGCAAACAGG